ACGAGCGGCCCUAGUGGCUUGGUCCCACCUGUUCCCAUUUCGAACACAGAAGUGAAAUAAGCCGACGUUCCGUUAUGGUACUGCAUUUAAUGCGGGAAGUUCGGUUCGCUGCUCACC
This 117-nucleotide ribosomal RNA is filed under the name Nanobdellota archaeon. The record is from RNAcentral. Lineage: Archaea; Nanobdellati; Nanobdellota.